This 831-nucleotide long non-coding RNA is filed under the name Capsicum annuum. RNAcentral describes it as "long non-coding RNA (CANN_LNC022450)". The record is from RNAcentral. Lineage: Eukaryota; Viridiplantae; Streptophyta; Magnoliopsida; Solanales; Solanaceae.
AUUUGUGAUCUAAUUGUUAAUUUUGUUUGAUAAAAGGAGGGUUGCUUUGUGACCCAAUGCUUGAUUUUUCUUUGAAAAGUUGUAACAUUGUGGCAUUUCCAGUUUAGAUUUCUAUGUUUCUUUACUUUGAUUUUUUAUGUAGUUAGUUUUCUCUAUUUUGGCUCUUGUGACUUGAUCGCACUAUUCUUGUCCUGAGCUGGGGGCUGUGGGAAACAACCACUCUACUUCAUCUGAGGUAGUGGCGCGGAUUGUUACACUUACUCCCUAUACUCCAUUCUGUGGGAAUAUGCUAAAAUCCAAAUGUCAUUAAGAAAUGGUUUUCUCUAUAAGUAGUUCUUUUGAGUCAAGCUCAAGAUUUUAUUUAGGAGGUUUUAGGAAUAGACUAUUUGAUCCAUCUGUUAUAAAUGUUAUCUCUAAUAAAUUUGUGGUAAUUCAGGCUAUGUAAGGAGUUUUCUGUGUAAUCGAUUGAAGCUAGAACUACACCUUCCUCGACCUCAUAUGACAGAAAUGGUGAUGCAUUUUGUCAUUAUAGUUCCCAAUCUUGGUGCUUCAUGGAUUCUUGAAUGAUAUUUAGAUGUUUUAUCUGGUUAAGUAUGGCUUAAGCUAAAGCGACAAACGUACAGGACUUGACUGUAUGCUACUUUAUCAACUGGUUUUUAAACAAAAUAAGGGAUGGUUAUUUUUGCUAACAUUCAUGGGGGAACAAACAUUUGUCUUAGCUGAUUAAAGUUGAUUGUCGCUGCUCUUCUUUAAAUUAUUGGCGUGAGAAGUAUUUUAAUCAAAAUAAAGUUUCCUUGAAUGUUCCAUUGACGUCCCUUUAUGUGCAUUUGA